GCUGGGAUAGCUCAGUCGGUAGAGCAUGAGACUCUUAAUGUUAGGGUUGUGGGCUUGAGCUCCACAUUGGGCA
Molecule: non-coding RNA, 73 nt
Organism: Podarcis lilfordi (Lilford's wall lizard)
Lineage: Eukaryota; Metazoa; Chordata; Lepidosauria; Squamata; Lacertidae
Source: the annotation of a GenBank genome assembly